RNAcentral lists this ribosomal RNA (320 nucleotides) under uncultured eukaryote. RNAcentral's name for it is "partial 18S ribosomal RNA". It matches the Rfam family "Eukaryotic small subunit ribosomal RNA", at positions 1470 to 1796 of the family's 1831-position model. The record is from RNAcentral.
CCCUUAGAUGUUCUGGGCUGCACGCGUGCUACAAUGGCGCUUGCAACAAGAUUGCCAACCCGAAAGGGUGAGCGGAUCUUUGAAGUGGCGUCGUGAUCGGGACAGUUGAUUGCAAUUAUUCGACUCGAACGAGGAAUUCCUUGUAAUCGCGAUUCACCAUAUCGCGCUGAAUACGUCCCUGCCCUUUGUACACACCGCCCGUCGCUCCUACCGAUUGAGCGAUCCGGUGAAUGUUUUGGACUGGUGUCCGCAAGCGUUUCGCUUCGGACGCUACGAAAUUUUGUAAACCUUAUCGCUUAGAGGAAGGAAAAGUCGUAACA